CGGGAACUCUGACACGAGGUGCUGCAUGGCUGUCGUCAGCUCGUGUCGUGAGAUGGUUAGGGUUAACGUCCCGUAACGAGCGCAACCCUUGUCCUUAGUUACCAGCACGUUAUGGUGGGCACUCUAAGGAGACUGCCGGUGACAAACCGGAGGAAGGUGGGGAUGACGUCAAGUCAUCAUGGCCCUUACGGCCUGGGCUACACACGUGCUACAAUGGUCGGUACAAAGGGUUGCCAAGCCGCGAGGUGGAGCUAAUCCCAUAAAACCGAUCGUAGUCCGGAUCGCAGUCUGCAACUCGACUGCGUGAAGUCGGAAUCGCUAGUAAUCGUGAAUCAGAAUGUCACGGUGAAUACGUUCCCGGGCCUU
Molecule: ribosomal RNA, 366 nt
Filed under: uncultured Pseudomonas sp.
Lineage: Bacteria; Pseudomonadati; Pseudomonadota; Gammaproteobacteria; Pseudomonadales; Pseudomonadaceae
Description: bacterial SSU rRNA
Rfam family: Bacterial small subunit ribosomal RNA
Source: RNAcentral